Molecule: ribosomal RNA, 205 nt
Filed under: uncultured bacterium
Lineage: Bacteria
Description: partial 16S ribosomal RNA
Rfam family: Bacterial small subunit ribosomal RNA
Source: RNAcentral
CAGUUCGGAUUGGAGUCUGCAACCCGACUCCAUGAAGCUGGAUUCGCUAGUAAUCGCGCAUCAGCCACGGCGCGGGUGAAUACGUUCCCGGGCCUUGUACACACCGCCCGUCAAGCCAUGGAAGCCGGGAGUGCCUGAAGUACGCGACCGCAAGGAGCGUCCUAAGGUAAAACCGGUGACUGGGGCUAAGUCGUAACAAGGUACC